RNAcentral lists this ribosomal RNA (1421 nucleotides) under metagenome. Its description in RNAcentral is "SSU rRNA". It matches the Rfam family "Eukaryotic small subunit ribosomal RNA", at positions 360 to 1801 of the family's 1831-position model. The record is from RNAcentral.
UCGGAGAAUUAGGGUUCGAUUCCGGAGAGGGAGCCUGAGAAACGGCUACCACCUCUAAGGAAGGCAGCAGGCGCGCAAAUUACCCAAUUCUCAAUGAGAGAGGUAGUGAAGAUAAAUAUCAAUGCUGGUCCUUUAUAGGUCUGGUAAUUGGAAUGAGUACAAUUUAAAAUCCUUAACGAGGAUCCAUUGGAGGGCAAGUCUGGUGCCAGCAGCCGCGGUAACACCAGCUCCAAUAGCGUAUAUUAAAGUUGUUGCAGUUAAAAAGCUCGUAGUUGGAUAUCUGGUAUAGGAUGCCUGGCCCGCCCUUUCACGAGGGUGUGUGCCGGCGCAACCUUACCAUCCUUCUGAGAAGCGUGUCUACUCUUUAUUGAGCGGAUACGUGACUCGGAUCAUUUACUUUGAAAAAAUUAGAGUGUUCAAAGCAGGCGUUGCUUGAAUACAUUAGCAUGGAAUAAUAAAAUAGGACUCCGGUUCUAUUUUGUUGGUUUAUAGGACCGAAGUAAUGAUUAAAAGGGACAGUUGGGGGUGCUUGUAUUGGGCGGCCAGAGGUGAAAUUCUUGGAUUCGCUCAAGACAAACUUAUGCGAAAGCAUUCACCAAGGUUGUCUUCUUUAAUCAAGAACGAAAGUUGGGGGAUCGAAGACGAUCAGAUACCGUCGUAGUCUCAACCAUAAACUAUGCCAACCAAGGAUCAGCGGACGUUGUUUAAGACUCCGUUGGUACUUUCCGAGAAAUCAAAGUCUUUGGGUUCCGGGGGGAGUCUGGUCGCAAGGCUGAAACUUAAAGGAAUUGACGGAAGGGCACCACAACGGCGUGGAGCCUGCGGCUUAAUUUGACCCAACACGGGGAAAUUUACCAGGUCCGGACAUAGGCAGGAUAGACAGAUUGCAGAUCUUUCUUGAUUCUAUGGAUGGUGGUGCAUGGCCGUUCUUAGUUGGUGGAGUGAUUUGUCUGGUUAAUUCCGUUAACGAACGAGACCUCAGCCUACUAAAUAGUCAGGUCAACCUUUCGGGGUUGGCUCGUUUACUUCUUAGAGGGACUGUCGGUUUCUAGCCGACAGAAGUGUGAGGCAAUAACAGGUCUGUGAUGCCCUUAGAUGUUCUGGGCUGCACGCGCGCUACACUGUUGCACGCAACGAGCAUCACCCUUGACCGACAGGUCUGGGUAAUCUUUUAAAGUGCAACGUGCUGGGGCUAGAUUAUUGCAAUUAUUAGUCUUCAACCAGGAAUGCCUAGUAAACGCGGGUCAUCAGCUCGCAUUGAUUACGUCCCUGCCCUUUGUACACACCGCCCGUCGCUCCUACCGAUUGAAUGAUCCGGUAAAGUCUUCGGACCGUAGCGCAAGGGUGGGCAACCACCCCUACGCUUCUGGGAAGUUGAUUGAACCUUAUCAUUUAGAGGAAGGAGAAGUCGUAACAAGGUU